UGUGAUCGAUCAUGGGGUGCUGUG
RNAcentral lists this non-coding RNA (24 nucleotides) under Mus musculus (house mouse). The record is from RNAcentral. Lineage: Eukaryota; Metazoa; Chordata; Mammalia; Rodentia; Muridae.